Sitophilus oryzae (rice weevil) is the source of this 66-nucleotide non-coding RNA. Lineage: Eukaryota; Metazoa; Arthropoda; Insecta; Coleoptera; Curculionidae. The record is from the annotation of a RefSeq genome assembly.
CAGAAAAUAGUUUAUAUUAAAAUUUUAAUUUUGGAAAUUAAAGUAGGGAGAAUUUCUCUUUUCUGA